AUCGACGGCCAUAGCCUCCUCAAAGUACCGCGUCCCGUCUGAUCCGCGAAGUCAACUAGGAGAGCGCUCGGUUAGUACCAGGGUGGGGGACCACCUGGGAAUCCCGGGUGCCGUCGUUU
This is a ribosomal RNA of Cryptococcus amylolentus CBS 6039, 119 nucleotides long. Lineage: Eukaryota; Fungi; Basidiomycota; Tremellomycetes; Tremellales; Cryptococcaceae. The record is from Rfam.